Molecule: non-coding RNA, 125 nt
Organism: Triticum aestivum (bread wheat)
Lineage: Eukaryota; Viridiplantae; Streptophyta; Magnoliopsida; Poales; Poaceae
Source: Rfam
AUACUACUCUCUCUGUCCGGAAAUACUUGUCGUAGAAAUGGAUGUAAAUGGAUGUAUCUAUAACUAAAAUAUAUCUAGAUACAUCCAUUCCUCGGACAAGUAUUUUUGAACGGAGGGAGUACUUU